This is a non-coding RNA of Aedes aegypti (yellow fever mosquito), 165 nucleotides long. NCBI's taxonomy places the organism in Eukaryota, Metazoa, Arthropoda, Insecta, Diptera, Culicidae. The record is from Rfam.
UUUCCCUCAGGAUAGCUGGAGCACGCAACGUUUCGGAACCUAUUCUUAUCUGGUAAAGCGAAUGAUUAGAGGCCUUAGGUUCGAAAUGAUCUUAACCUAUUCUCAAACUAUAAAUGGGUACGUACCAUAGCAUUCUUGCAUGAUGCUGUUGCAACGUUGACGCCG